This 329-nucleotide ribosomal RNA is filed under the name uncultured eukaryote. RNAcentral's name for it is "partial 18S ribosomal RNA". It matches the Rfam family "Eukaryotic small subunit ribosomal RNA", at positions 1470 to 1796 of the family's 1831-position model. The record is from RNAcentral.
CCCUUAGAUGUUCUGGGCCGCACGCGCGCUACACUGACGAUGGCAACGAGUUUUUCCUUCGCCGAAAGGUGUGGGUAAUCUUUUGAAACAUCGUCGUGCUGGGGAUAGAUCAUUGCAAUUUUUGAUCUUGAACGAGGAAUUCCUAGUAAGCGCGAGUCAUCAGCUCGCGUUGAUUACGUCCCUGCCCUUUGUACACACCGCCCGUCGCUACUACCGAUUGAAUGGUUUAGUGAGGACUCCUGAUUGGCGCCGCCGCCCUGGCAACGGAGCAGCGGACUGCCGAAAAGUUGUUCAAACUUGAUCAUUUAGAGGAAGUAAAAGUCGUAACA